UACGUAGGGGGCGAGCGUUAUCCGGAUUUACUGGGUGUAAAGGGAGCGUAGACGGCGUCGCAAGUCUGAAGUGAAAGCCCGUGGCUCAACCGCGGAACCGCUUUGGAAACUGCGAGGCUGGAGUGCUGGAGAGGUAAGCGGAAUUCCUGGUGUAGCGGUGAAAUGCGUAGAUAUCAGGAGGAACAUCAGUGGCGAAGGCGACUAUCUGGACAGCAACUGACACUGAGGCACGAAAGCGUGGGGAGCAAACAGG
RNAcentral lists this ribosomal RNA (253 nucleotides) under uncultured Lachnospiraceae bacterium. Its description in RNAcentral is "partial 16S ribosomal RNA". It matches the Rfam family "Bacterial small subunit ribosomal RNA", at positions 524 to 776 of the family's 1533-position model. Lineage: Bacteria; Bacillati; Bacillota; Clostridia; Lachnospirales; Lachnospiraceae. The record is from RNAcentral.